GACGAACGCUGGCGGCGUGCUUAACACAUGCAAGUCGAACGGAAAGGCCCUGCUUGCAGGGUACUCGAGUGGCGAACGGGUGAGUAACACGUGGGUGAUCUGCCCUGCACUUCGGGAUAAGCUUGGGAAACUGGGUCUAAUACCGGAUAGGACCGCACUUUAGUGUGUGUGGUGGAAAGUUUUUUCGGUGUAGGAUGAGCUCGCGGCCUAUCAGCUUGUUGGUGGGGUAAUGGCCUACCAAGGCGGCGACGGGUAGCCGGCCUGAGAGGGUGUACGGCCACAUUGGGACUGAGAUACGGCCCAGACUCCUACGGGAGGCAGCAGUGGGGAAUAUUGCACAAUGGGCGCAAGCCUGAUGCAGCGACGCCGCGUGGGGGAUGAAGGCCUUCGGGUUGUAAACUCCUUUCGCUAGGGACGAAGCUUUGUUGUGACGGUACCUAGAUAAGAAGCACCGGCUAACUACGUG
Molecule: ribosomal RNA, 466 nt
Filed under: uncultured bacterium
Lineage: Bacteria
Description: partial 16S ribosomal RNA
Rfam family: Bacterial small subunit ribosomal RNA
Source: RNAcentral